RNAcentral lists this ribosomal RNA (475 nucleotides) under uncultured soil bacterium. Its description in RNAcentral is "bacterial SSU rRNA". It matches the Rfam family "Bacterial small subunit ribosomal RNA", at positions 26 to 518 of the family's 1533-position model. The record is from RNAcentral.
AGGACGAACGCUGGCGGCGUGCUUAACACAUGCAAGUCGAGCGGUAAGGCCUUUCGGGGUACACGAGCGGCGAACGGGUGAGUAACACGUGGGUGAUCUGCCCAGCACUUCGGGAUAAGCCUGGGAAACUGGGUCUAAUACCGGAUAUGACCUCAGGUUGCAUGACUUGGGGUGGAAAGAUUUAUCGGUGCAGGAUGGGCCCGCGGCCUAUCAGCUUGUUGGUGGGGUAAUGGCCUACCAAGGCGACGACGGGUAGCCGACCUGAGAGGGUGACCGGCCACACUGGGACUGAGACACGGCCCAGACUCCUACGGGAGGCAGCAGUGGGGAAUAUUGCACAAUGGGCGAAAGCCUGAUGCAGCGACGCCGCGUGAGGAUGACGGCCUUCGGGUUGUAAACCGUCUUUCAGCAGGACGAAGCGCAAGUGACGGUACCUGCAGAAGAAGCACCGGCUAACUACGUGCCAGCAAGCCGC